GAAAAAUUAGUUAAUCUUAUAAUAUUAAAAUGUCAUUUUAAAGUAAUUAAUUUAUAAUAUUUUUCU
RNAcentral lists this transfer RNA (66 nucleotides) under Binodoxys communis. RNAcentral's name for it is "tRNA-Asp". Lineage: Eukaryota; Metazoa; Arthropoda; Insecta; Hymenoptera; Braconidae. The record is from RNAcentral.